Molecule: ribosomal RNA, 255 nt
Filed under: uncultured bacterium
Lineage: Bacteria
Description: partial 16S ribosomal RNA
Rfam family: Bacterial small subunit ribosomal RNA
Source: RNAcentral
UACGUAGGUGGCAAGCGUUGUCCGGAUUUACUGGGCGUAAAGGAUGCGUAGGCGGACAUUUAAGUCAGAUGUGAAAUACCCGAGCUUAACUUGGGUGCUGCAUUUGAAACUGGGUGUCUAGAGUGCAGGAGAGGUAAGUGGAAUUCCGAGUGUAGAGGUGAAAUUCGUAGAUAUUCGGAAGAACACCGGUGGCGAAGGCGGGUCUCUGGGCCGAAACUGACGCUGAGGAGCGAAAAGCGUGGGGGAGCAAACAGG